UAAGGCUCUUAUAAAGUAGUGCCAUAUCCUAUAAACAUUUCUUUUAAAAGUCUACUAUUGAUAAACGUAAAAAAAAUUAACUGAUGAUGCAGAUUUUUCGAAAUGUAGUAUCGUUUUUUUCUGAACUACAUAUUUCCUGUGAGAAUGUUUUUGUAACCGCGGUGGCAGGAAAUUCGCCACUUCCUGUGAAGUAAAUGAUUUAUUAAACUUCAAAGCUAAAAGUUGAGCAUUUUAUCCAGUUCUGAUGGAAAAAUCAAAAUAAAAAUGAAGAACGUCUACAGUGCUAUUUUUUCAAUUCUUAUAUCCUAUUGUAAAAUUAUUGUUUGAGUUCUUGUGUCAAUAUUUAUGUGAUUUCUUAAAAAUUGUGUAUAUCAUACAAAAUCGUUUUUUGUUCUUUUAAUGGAAUGAGUGUAGAAACCUGUCUUGUGUUCUUGAUAUUUAUUUUUAAAAUACUAUGAAAUUAGAUUUAUUAAAAGUUACUGAAGAUUUAAACUUUUUAUUGUAAAGAUAUGUUAAUAUAAUGAUUUUAUAUAUUCCUUUUUGUAUCUGUAAUUUUCAAGCUUGUAGUGGGAGAAUGAUUUUUUCUUCUUUUCCUUCCCCUAAGCAUGUUGUAUUUCUCUAAGUAUGCCAUUAUGACAACAAGCUUUUAUGUUGUUGAACAGUAUGAAUUAACUUUGUCAAGACGAUUCAAAGUGUUUAUCUGACAUAGUGUACUUAAUUAUCUUUAAUUUCAGUAACAGUACUUCGGUUUUGCUUAAAACGAUGUUAAUAUCAUCUCAUGUGUAAUCAUAUGUGUAAAUUUCUUUGUGAAGACGUAAUUGCUAAAUUGCAACAGUUGUUUAUGAAUAUUUUUGUAAUUUACUGUGAUAAGCUAUUUUUACUGUACCACGAACAAUUUUAAAUGUUUUCCUUGUGAAUUAAAUUCCCUCAUAAGCGUCAUUAUUAAUAUCAUAUUGCUGAAUUUUCAGUUGUGUAUUUUGAAUAUAAUUUAUGUAUUUUGCAGCUUGAAAGACAAUUAAAAUUCAUAGGUACUUCAAAUUUAAAAGGCCACUGGAGAUACUUAGCUUAAUUUAUAUUUCAUUAGCAAACUGUAAUAUAAUUUCUGAAAUGAGUAAAAAUAAAAAGAUCUUACAUCCAUACAAGAGGAGUUGGAAUGUGUUUUUAAUAAUAUGUAGUGAUAAGGAUUCUCGGAUAGUUUUCUCAAUUCCUUCCCUUAUAUCACUAAUCAAAAUUUCUUAUUUAUCAUUCUCUGAGGAAAUUUUAUUUGUCAUAUAUCCAUAUAUUCAAGGUUCAUCCAUUUCUUUUUAAAAAAUACAACUCGUUAAAAAUUCUUAAUUUCUGCUAGAAUUUAAAUGAUUCUUAAUAUUGCUUAAAUGACAUUUCUCUGUCUUUUUUAUGACUGCUGUUCUGAGUGUAAAUUAAAAUUUUAAAUAAACGUGGAAUUCCAACUGCGUGGCUUAAUGGAACCAUUGCAUAUUGGUGUUGUAAACAAUGAAAGCAAUCAGGUAUUUCAGAACAAAAGUUUUAGUUUGUUCACAACUUUUUAAAGCAAAUGUUAUCAACAAAAAUACUGUCUGUCAACAUUUAAAAAAAAAUUCUUGGAGUUCAGUUUUGAGCUUUUGGCCAUACUUCAACCUACAGUGAUGAGAGUAUGCUUUGUGAAAUUCAUGAUUUAAUGCAAUGUAGUCACUGAAUCCAGAAAUUCUUUUAGGAUACGGGUAUAAGAUGUAAAUAGAGCACACAUAAAAGAAGGAGAGGAGCUAUUUUAAGAGCAUAUGCUGUAAUUAGACAGUUUAAGCUUGGGAAGAAACAUAUUUGUGAAGAGAGUUCAACUGCUCGCAGCUCCAACGCCAUUAGGAACAGUGGGUUCCCUCUAGAGCAGUGGUCUCAAAUUGCAUGCUUCAUGGGCUAAAUGCAUGAUCUGAAAGCAGCUGAAGGGCCAGAACAUUUUUUAACAAAAUGUAAAAACAUUUUUAACAAAUAAAAAAAAAAUUACAUCAUUUACUGAAUAUUUAUCGGGACAUGCAUAAAUAAUAAUAAUACAAAGGAAAAUUUUCAAAUUUAUGUUUUUUCAGUGUUGACUCUAAAUAUUGGUACCUUUAAAAAAUUUCUAUUGGUUAUACUUCAUAAUUCAAGCAUAUUAACAGCUAAUUAUUAAAUUUUAAACUGACAUUUAUUUCAAGUAAUUCCAAUAUGAUUAAUGAACCACUAAAUAACUUACUUUUUAACUUUAGCUGGAAAUUUUGGAAUAGUGAAGCAUGACCAGCUGUUGGGCUGACAAAGUAAAUUUUACUGACUAUUCCAGCAGGGGAAGUUCUCCUACCUUACCCUAGUCUUAUGGCCUGGUAUUCAAGCAUAUUGCCACCCAGAUAGGAUAGUGGCUAAUGAUGCUGACUGUUGUACUGCAUGUGUUGAAUCCCAAAGGCAUGGAUGUUUGUAAGUGUAUAGUAUCUGUGUGGCAAGGGACACUCAAAUUACAUGCCUAGCCAAAAUCCUCAUAAGAGUUUGGUGGAAGGUAUGGACCUCUAGGAUAUUCUCAGAAUUCCAAAUUGAAACAUAAGCUUAACAGUUAGCUAGGUGCUAUCUCAAUCACCUAUGGUACUACAGAGAGUCUGGUUUAGCUUUUACCUAUACUAGCAUUCAAGGUUACUAUACUAAAAGAUUAGCUGUUUUAUGGUGUCACUAAUCCCAAGUAUGCUCUAAAGCAACUUCUUCCCUGCAGUCUUUGUGUUUUUGUUUCUGCCACCUUUGUGAAUAAGUGGCUUCAACAUUAUGAAAAGCCUAACCUUACAGCCAUACUGGGGUAAAGACAAGUCCCCAAAGUAUUCAUCUUUUUUCUUUCAGUAACAGUCAUGUGCGUAUAACUACAGUCCAUAUUUUUAUGUUGCUAAAACUAGAUUCACCAUAUCUGCAACAAAUGCAUAACUGAAAUGUAUUCAUGGAUCAUGUUAAGUUGCAUAGGUGCUGCAUGUGCCCUGCAGAGCAACGAGACUACUGAGACCAUUCCUUUGGAGAAGAAAUGAUCAAUCAGGUUUUGAAAAAAAAAAUUAUCAGUGAUGGUUGUCUGUUGAGGCAGUUUUUACUUGGACUGAAUCCUUGUACCGUAGCAAGUUCUAAUAACAUUUUAGAGCCAUGAUUGCUGGUUAAAAGUCUAGAAAGAACCUGUGACAAACUGAAAAACAUGUUAAUGGUAUUAGCACAGAAUAAGCAUGUUUUAAAGGAUGAAUGCUAUGAAUUAUGUUAGUAUUUGGAGAAUUUUUGGAAAAAAGCAGAAAAAUAAAAUUAUUUGAGUUUUGUCCUAGUAAUUCCAAGAGGCUUUCUUUUGGUACAUUUCUCUUUACAUGUUUUUAUGAUUUUCAGUAUUCAGAAGUAUGGGAAAUUGCAAAAAUGAUUCCAUUCUUGUCACAUGUGAAAAGAAGUUCCUUUGUUCAAAAAGAAAUUUAAAAUAUUUUCUUUUAUUUCUCAGUGCACUAUAAACGAUUUAUAGCUUCUGGAGGUGAUAGUAUCAAAAUUGUUAAUAGAAUGAGAUUAACAGUUUUUCUUCUAACUUUUCUAAAUAUAUGCAGUAUUUAGUUAAAACAAAAAUUCUGUAAUUAAAUCUGAUCUAACACAACACUAAUUUAAAAAUACAGUGAGGUA
This 3639-nucleotide long non-coding RNA is filed under the name Stegodyphus dumicola. RNAcentral's name for it is "uncharacterized LOC118192548". The record is from RNAcentral. Lineage: Eukaryota; Metazoa; Arthropoda; Arachnida; Araneae; Eresidae.